CAGCAGCCGCGGGAACACGGAGGGAGCUAGCGUUAUUCGGAAUUACUGGGCGUAAAGCGCACGUAGGCGGCUUUGUAAGUUAGAGGUGAAAGCCUGGAGCUCAACUCCAGAAUUGCCUUUAAGACUGCAUCGCUUGAAUCCAGGAGAGGUGAGUGGAAUUCCGAGUGUAGAGGUGAAAUUCGUAGAUAUUCGGAAGAACACCAGUGGCGAAGGCGGCUCACUGGACUGGUAUUGACGCUGAGGUGCGAAAGCGUGGGGAGCAAACAGGAUUAGAUACCCCAGUAGUCCCUGUCUCUUAUAC
RNAcentral lists this ribosomal RNA (301 nucleotides) under uncultured bacterium. RNAcentral describes it as "partial 16S ribosomal RNA". It matches the Rfam family "Bacterial small subunit ribosomal RNA", at positions 509 to 807 of the family's 1533-position model. The record is from RNAcentral.